RNAcentral lists this ribosomal RNA (119 nucleotides) under Pteropus alecto (black flying fox). Lineage: Eukaryota; Metazoa; Chordata; Mammalia; Chiroptera; Pteropodidae. The record is from RNAcentral.
GUCUACAGCCAUGCUACCCUGAACACACCCAAUCCCGUCUAAUCUCGGAAGCUAAGCAGGGUCAGGCCUGGUUAGUACUUGGAUAGGAGACCACAUAGGAAGACCAGGUGCUAUAAAAC